AUACGUAGGGGGCGAGCGUUGUCCGGAAUGAUUGGGCGUAAAGGGCGCGUAGGCGGCCCGGUAAGUCUGGAGUGAAAGUCCUGUUUUUAAGAUGGGAAUUGCUUUGGAUACUGUCGGGCUUGAGUGCAGGAGAGGUAAGUGGAAUUCCCAGUGUAGCGGUGAAAUGCGUAGAGAUUGGGAGGAACACCAGUGGCGAAGGCGACUUACUGGACUGUAACUGACGCUGAGGCGCGAAAGUGUGGGGAGCAAACAGGAUUAGAUACCCUGGUAGUCCACGCGGUAAACGAUGAAUGCUAGGUGUUGCGGGUAUCGACCCCUGCAGUGCCGGAGUAAACACAAUAAGCAUUCCGCCUGGGGAGUACGGCCGCAAGGUUGAAACUCAAAUGAAUUGACGGGG
Molecule: ribosomal RNA, 397 nt
Filed under: uncultured bacterium
Lineage: Bacteria
Description: partial 16S ribosomal RNA
Rfam family: Bacterial small subunit ribosomal RNA
Source: RNAcentral